AUCUUAAUAAAUUAUUUUUUGUUUUGUUUUUUUUAAUUAAAAGAAGUUAGUGAUUUUUAUAGUAUAUUUUAUUGAAAUAUUAAUUUUAAUUAUAGUUUAUUAGUAUUGUGAAAGAAUUUUGAAAUAUAGUGAAAUAUUUAAGUUUUUAAAAGAAGAUUUAAUUUGUUGUACCUUGUGUAUCAGGGUUGAUUAAAAUUUCCUUACUUAUGUAAGUUUCCCGAAUUGAGGGGAGCUAGAAAUAAAUUUAUUUUACUGUUGAAUAAUUACUUAUAAUUUAUUUCUCGGAGUGAAAUGUUAUUCGUCCUUCACUAUAUCUGGUUUUUCUGGAAAUUAAUUUAAUUUAGUUUGCUUUUAUUAAUUGUUCUUUUUUCUGAUCGAUUAUGAAUGUGAGUCAAUCUGAGUCGGGAUAAGCUGGCUUAGAAAUUUUCAAUGAAAUAUUAAUUUUUAAGAUAAAGUAGGAUUAGAAAUUUCCAUCUUAGUUAUUUUGUUUUAAUUAAUUCUUUUUAGUAUUUUAUUUUUAUUAUUCAUGGGUUUUUACAGAAAUAAUUAAUUUAAUACUAUCUUUUUUGUAAUAAUGAUUAAAUUAGUACAGUUUGUUGUCUAUUGUUUUUUUUUUUCUGUUAGGUUAAUUUAAGGAAUUCGGCAAGAGCUUUUCCGCCUGUUUAUUAAAAACAUGUCCUUUUGAUUAUGAUUUAAGGUCUGACCUGCUCAAUGAGGUUUUAAAUAGCCGCGAUAACUUGAUCGUGCGAAGGUAGCAUAAUCAUUAGUUUUUUAAUUGAAAACUGGAAUGAAGGGUUGGACGAGAUUGGGGCUGUCUCAAAUUUAUUAAAUUGGAACUUUAUUUUUAGGUUAAAAAGCCUAAAUACUUCUUAAAGACGAGAAGACCCUAUAGAGUUUUAUAUUUUUAUUUAAUGGGUGUUUUUGGUAUUAAAUUUACUUGUUAGUUUUAAAAUAUUUAGUUGGGGUGAUUAAAUAAAUGGUUAAACUUCUUUUUUUUAUUACACUGAUUUGUGAUUUGAUGAUCCACUAUUUGUGAUUAAAAGAUUAAAUUACCUUAGGGAUAACAGCGUAAUUUCUUUUGAGAGUUCUUAUCGAAAAUGGAGUUUGCGACCUCGAUGUUGGAUUAAAGUUAAUUUUUGGCGUAGAAGUUAAAAUAUUUGGUCUGUUCGACCAUUAAAACUUUACAUGAUCUGAGUUUAGACCGGCGUGAGCCAGGUCGGUUUCUAUCUUGAGAAUAUUUUAAUAUCUUAGUACGAAAGGACCAGUUAUUAAAUAAAUUAUUUUAAUAUUGAAUUACAUUAAU
This 1303-nucleotide ribosomal RNA is filed under the name Chrysochroa fulgidissima. RNAcentral describes it as "large subunit ribosomal RNA". The stretch from base 867 to 1235 matches the Rfam family "Archaeal large subunit ribosomal RNA", at positions 2148 to 2718 of the family's 2987-position model. Lineage: Eukaryota; Metazoa; Arthropoda; Insecta; Coleoptera; Buprestidae. The record is from RNAcentral.